ACUCCUACGGGAGGCAGCAGUGGGGGAACUAUUGCACAAUGGGCGCAAGCCUGAUGCAGCCAUGCCGCGUGUGUGAAGAAGGCCUUCGGGUUGUAAAGCACUUUUCAGCAGUGAGGAAAGGCGGACGUCGUUAAUAGCGGCCUCGUUUGACGUUAGCUGCAGAAGAAGCACCGGCUAACGUCCGUGCCAGCAGCCGCGGUAAUACGGAGGGUGCGAGCGUUAAUCGGAAUUACUGGGCGUAAAGCGCAUGCAGGUGGUUUGUUAAGUCAGAUGUGAAAGCCCGGGGGCUCAACCUCGGAAUAGCAUUUGAAACUGGCAGACUAGAGUACUGUAGAGGGGGGUAGAAUUUCAGGUGUAGCGGUGAAAUGCGUAGAGAUCGUGAAGGAAUACCGGUGGCGAACGGCGGCCCCC
Molecule: ribosomal RNA, 411 nt
Filed under: uncultured bacterium
Lineage: Bacteria
Description: bacterial SSU rRNA
Rfam family: Bacterial small subunit ribosomal RNA
Source: RNAcentral